GGUGGGGAGCAAACAGGAUUAGAUACCUGGUAGUCCACGCUGUAAACGAUGUCGAUUUGGAGUUUGUUGCCUAGAGUGAUGGGCUCCGAAGCUAACGCGAUAAAUCGACCGCCUGGGGAGUACGGCCGCAAGGUUAAAACUCAAAUGAAUUGACGGGGGCCCGCACAAGCGGUGGAGCAUGUGGUUUAAUUCGAUGCAACGCGAAGAACCUUACCUGGUCUUGACAUCCAUAGAAUUCUGCAGAGAUGUGGGAGUGCCUUCGGGAACUAUGAGACAGGUGCUGCAUGGCUGUCGUCAGCUCGUGUUGUGAAAUGUUGGGUUAAGUCCCGCAACGAGCGCAACCCUUAUUCUUUGUUGCCAGCGAUUUGGUCGGGAACUCAAAGGAGACUGCCGUUGAUAAAGCGGAGGAAGGUGGGGACGACGUCAAGUCAUCAUGGCCCUUACGACCAGGGCUACACACGUGCUACAAUGGCGUAUACAAAGGGAAGCGAAGGUGCGAGCUGGAGCGGAUCUCAUAAAGUACGUCUAAGUUCGGAUUGGAGUCUGCAACUCGACUCCAUGAAGUCGGAAUCGCUAGUAAUCGUAGAUCAGAAUGCUACGGUGAAUACGUUCCCGGGCCUUGUACACACCGCCCGUCACACCAUGGGAGUGGGUUGCACCAGAAGUAGAUAGCUUAACCGCGAGGGGGGCGUUUACCACGGUGUGAUUCAUGACUGGGGUGAAGUCGUAACAAGGUAACCA
This 741-nucleotide ribosomal RNA is filed under the name uncultured Enterobacteriaceae bacterium. Its description in RNAcentral is "bacterial SSU rRNA". It matches the Rfam family "Bacterial small subunit ribosomal RNA", at positions 760 to 1502 of the family's 1533-position model. The record is from RNAcentral. Lineage: Bacteria; Pseudomonadati; Pseudomonadota; Gammaproteobacteria; Enterobacterales; Enterobacteriaceae.